AGAAUCAACGCUGGCGGCGUGCCUAACACAUGCAAGUCGCACGAGAAAGGGGAGCAAUCCCUGAGUAAAGUGGCGCACGGGUGAGUAACACGUGAAUAAUCUACCUCCGAGUGGGGAAUAACUGAGAGAAAUCUUAGCUAAUACCGCAUAACACUUACGAGUCAAAGCAGCAAUGCGCUUGGAGAGGAGUUCGCGGCCGAUUAGUUAGUUGGCGGGUAAUGGCCCACCAAGACGAUGAUCGGUA
This 244-nucleotide ribosomal RNA is filed under the name uncultured bacterium. RNAcentral describes it as "partial small subunit ribosomal RNA". It matches the Rfam family "Bacterial small subunit ribosomal RNA", at positions 26 to 285 of the family's 1533-position model. The record is from RNAcentral.